Molecule: ribosomal RNA, 582 nt
Filed under: Pichia californica
Lineage: Eukaryota; Fungi; Ascomycota; Pichiomycetes; Pichiales; Pichiaceae
Description: LSU rRNA
Rfam family: Eukaryotic large subunit ribosomal RNA
Source: RNAcentral
UCGACCUCAGAUCAGGUAGGAAUACCCGCUGAACUUAAGCAUAUCAAUAAGCGGAGGAAAAGAAACCAACAGGGAUUGCCUCAGUAGCGGCGAGUGAAGCGGCAAGAGCUCAGAUUUGAAAUCGUGUUUCGGCACGAGUUGUAGAGUGUAGGUGGGAGUCUCUGCGGAGCACAGUGUCCAAGUCCCUUGGAACAGGGCGCCUGAGAGGGUGAGAGCCCCGUGGGGUGCUGUGCGAAGCUUUGAGGCCCUGCUGACGAGUCGAGUUGUUUGGGAAUGCAGCUCUAAGCGGGUGGUAAAUUCCAUCUAAGGCUAAAUAUUGGCGAGAGACCGAUAGCGAACAAGUACUGUGAAGGAAAGAUGAAAAGCACUUUGAAAAGAGAGUGAAACAGCACGUGAAAUUGUUGAAAGGGAAGGGUAUUGGGCCCGACAUGGGGAGUGCGCACCGCUGUCUCUUGUAGGCGGCGCUCUGGGCGCUCUCUGGGCCAGCAUCGGUUCCUGCUGCGAGAGAAAGGGUUCCGGAAAGUGGCUCUUCGGAGUGUUAUAGCCGGGGCCAGAUGUCGCGUGUGGGGACCGAGGACUGCG